Molecule: ribosomal RNA, 2008 nt
Filed under: Salmonella enterica
Lineage: Bacteria; Pseudomonadati; Pseudomonadota; Gammaproteobacteria; Enterobacterales; Enterobacteriaceae
Description: partial 23S ribosomal RNA
Rfam family: Bacterial large subunit ribosomal RNA
Source: RNAcentral
CCGAUGCAAACUGCGAAUACCGGAGAAUGUUAUCACGGGAGACACACGGCGGGUGCUAACGUCCGUCGUGAAGAGGGAAACAACCCAGACCGCCAGCUAAGGUCCCAAAGUCAUGGUUAAGUGGGAAACGAUGUGGGAAGGCCCAGACAGCCAGGAUGUUGGCUUAGAAGCAGCCAUCAUUUAAAGAAAGCGUAAUAGCUCACUGGUCGAGUCGGCCUGCGCGGAAGAUGUAACGGGGCUAAACCAUGCACCGAAGCUGCGGCAGCGACACUCAGGUGUUGUUGGGUAGGGGAGCGUUCUGUAAGCCUGCGAAGGUGGCCUGUGAGGGUUGCUGGAGGUAUCAGAAGUGCGAAUGCUGACAUAAGUAACGAUAAAGCGGGUGAAAAGCCCGCUCGCCGGAAGACCAAGGGUUCCUGUCCAACGUUAAUCGGGGCAGGGUGAGUCGACCCCUAAGGCGAGGCCGAAAGGCGUAGUCGAUGGGAAACGGGUUAAUAUUCCCGUACUUGGUGUUACUGCGAAGGGGGGACGGAGAAGGCUAUGUUGGCCGGGCGACGGUUGUCCCGGUUUAAGCGUGUAGGUGUGUGUUCCAGGUAAAUCCGGUUCACUUUAACACUGAGGCGUGAUGACGAGGCACUACGGUGCUGAAGCAACAAAUGCCCUGCUUCCAGGAAAAGCCUCUAAGCAUCAGGUAACAUCAAAUCGUACCCCAAACCGACACAGGUGGUCAGGUAGAGAAUACCAAGGCGCUUGAGAGAACUCGGGUGAAGGAACUAGGCAAAAUGGUGCCGUAACUUCGGGAGAAGGCACGCUGACACGUAGGUGAAGUGAUUUACUCAUGGAGCUGAAGUCAGUCGAAGAUACCAGCUGGCUGCAACUGUUUAUUAAAAACACAGCACUGUGCAAACACGAAAGUGGACGUAUACGGUGUGACGCCUGCCCGGUGCCGGAAGGUUAAUUGAUGGGGUCAGCGCAAGCGAAGCUCCUGAUCGAAGCCCCGGUAAACGGCGGCCGUAACUAUAACGGUCCUAAGGUAGCGAAAUUCCUUGUCGGGUAAGUUCCGACCUGCACGAAUGGCGUAAUGAUGGCCAGGCUGUCUCCACCCGAGACUCAGUGAAAUUGAACUCGCUGUGAAGAUGCAGUGUACCCGCGGCAAGACGGAAAGACCCCGUGAACCUUUACUAUAGCUUGACACUGAACAUUGAGCCUUGAUGUGUAGGAUAGGUGGGAGGCUUUGAAGUGUGGACGCCAGUCUGCAUGGAGCCGGCCUUGAAAUACCACCCUUUAAUGUUUGAUGUUCUAACGUGGACCCGUGAUCCGGGUUGCGGACAGUGUCUGGUGGGUAGUUUGACUGGGGCGGUCUCCUCCUAAAGAGUAACGGAGGAGCACGAAGGUUGGCUAAUCCUGGUCGGACAUCAGGAGGUUAGUGCAAUGGCAUAAGCCAGCUUGACUGCGAGCGUGACGGCGCGAGCAGGUGCGAAAGCAGGUCAUAGUGAUCCGGUGGUUCUGAAUGGAAGGGCCAUCGCUCAACGGAUAAAAGGUACUCCGGGGAUAACAGGCUGAUACCGCCCAAGAGUUCAUAUCGACGGCGGUGUUUGGCACCUCGAUGUCGGCUCAUCACAUCCUGGGGCUGAAGUAGGUCCCAAGGGUAUGGCUGUUCGCCAUUUAAAGUGGUACGCGAGCUGGGUUUAGAACGUCGUGAGACAGUUCGGUCCCUAUCUGCCGUGGGCGCUGGAGAACUGAGGGGGGCUGCUCCUAGUACGAGAGGACCGGAGUGGACGCAUCACUGGUGUUCGGGUUGUCAUGCCAAUGGCACUGCCCGGUAGCUAAAUGCGGAAGAGAUAAGUGCUGAAAGCAUCUAAGCACGAAACUUGCCCCGAGAUGAGUUCUCCCUGAGACUUUAGGUCUCCUGAAGGAACGUUGAAGACGACGACGUUGAUAGGCCGGGUGUGUAAGCGCAGCGAUGCGUUGAGCUAACCGGUACUAAUGAACCGUGAGGCUUAACCUUACA